CAGCCGCCGCGGGAAUACGUAGGUGGCAAGCGUUGUCCGGAAUUAUUGGGCGUAAAGGGCUCGCAGGCGGUUUCUUAAGUCUGAUGUGAAAGCCCCCGGCUCAACUGGGGAGGGUCAUUGGAAACUGGGAAACUUGAGUGCAGAAGAGGAGAGUGGAAUUCCACGUGUAGCGGUGAAAUGCGUAGAGAUGUGGAGGAACACCAGUGGCGAAGGCGACUCUCUGGUCUGUAACUGACGCUGAGGAGCGAAAGCGUGGGGAGCGAACAGGAUUAGAUACCCCUGUAGUCCCUGUCUCUUAUAC
This 301-nucleotide ribosomal RNA is filed under the name uncultured bacterium. RNAcentral's name for it is "partial 16S ribosomal RNA". It matches the Rfam family "Bacterial small subunit ribosomal RNA", at positions 509 to 807 of the family's 1533-position model. The record is from RNAcentral.